This is an RNA transcript of Sitophilus oryzae (rice weevil), 628 nucleotides long. RefSeq lists it as uncharacterized. NCBI's taxonomy places the organism in Eukaryota, Metazoa, Arthropoda, Insecta, Coleoptera, Curculionidae. The transcript is spliced from 3 exons. The record is from RefSeq and is a predicted model, not a curated record.
GUUUUAAUAUUCAACUUAGUUGGGGUGAAACAUUUUUUUUUUAUUUUUAGCAUAAUGAGUAGAAUAAGUAAUUUUGUCUUUUGGUCUACUGUAAUAGUAUUAUUGUCGUUGUCAUUCGUAUCGUGUGACAUUGCCACCAACUCCAUAACCAGAAAAUCCAAUAGUCUCCCAAAAAGCAAUCCAGUAGCAAUCAUAGAUUCUCUAAGAAGACAGAUCGAAUACAAAGAGAAGGAACUACAAAGAGCAGAAAAAGCGAAUAAGAAUUUCGAGAAAAUGAUGGAACUGGUUAAUAUUCUUGGACAAGUCGACACAUUUUUGACCGAUCGUACACGAGCUAUCAUUAAGAAAUUGGCCGUUUUGACAGAAGAUGGAAACGAUAUUAUCGUUGCUAAAACAACUAAUAAAAUAUAAGAAUAAAUAAAACAACGAGAUUUGGUACGUUAGAAUAUGACAUAAAUUGGGAUUGAUUGUCAUAUUCAAUUGUUUUCUAUCACUUCCGGUUUCGUCGGAAAAACAGUUCAAAAUUUGAAUAGGAUUUCCUAUCUUUCUAACGAUGAUGCACUACCCGGUAUAUUAAACUUUAAAAUACAUAAACAAUAUUAAAGUGUUCAUUUUCUUCGUGCCAGUU